This 3036-nucleotide long non-coding RNA is filed under the name Trifolium pratense (red clover). RNAcentral's name for it is "long non-coding RNA (TPRA_LNC000002)". The record is from RNAcentral. Lineage: Eukaryota; Viridiplantae; Streptophyta; Magnoliopsida; Fabales; Fabaceae.
CCACAUUAAUUUCCUUUGAGGUUUGCUUAUUAAUUGUUACCAUUAGUGAACAAGUACAUUAUUGGCUAACUUAAUAAUAUUUGUUUUCCUAUUGUGUUGUGUAUAUCAAAUAGUUAGGCACUAUGGAGGGACAUGAAUUUUUGGGGUUUGGUUUCUUUGUAAUUGGUUUAUGGCACCUUUUCAAUAACACCAAACUCCAUUUUCUUUGUUCUUCUUUCAAGUCAUACACAUCAACCAUGUGGUUUCCUACAAAAAUAAGUAGAUACUUGGAGCUUCAUUUCAUCAUGGCAUGUUGCACACUUUUCAUAGCCAUGGAACUCUUAAUUUCUCCUCAUCAUCACCAUCCAUUUGACCCUCAAGAUGGAACCAUUCCCUCCAACCAUCUCCACAACUUUGAACACUCUUCCAUGGCUUUGUCUUUCUUAAUCUUUGCUACUUUUACCAUAGUUCUUGAUAGAUUUUCAACAAGUACUAUAGUUGAAAAUGAACUUAGCCAUUUGCUUGCAGCCAUAGCAUUUGCACAACAAUAUCUUCUUAUUCAUUUUCAUUCAAGAAACCACGUGGGGAUAGAAGGACAAUACCAUUAUUUAUUACAAAUUUUGAUUAUGAUUUGUUUUGUGACAACCCUUAUGGGAAUUGGAUUUCCAAUGAGCUUCUUGGUAUCUUUUGUGCGUUCUGUUUGCAUAAUCUUCCAAGGCUUGUGGCUUAUGUUUAUGGGGCUCAUGCUUUAUACACCUGGUUAUGAACCCAAAGGUUGUUUCAUGAAACUUAAGGAGGGUCAAUAUGUGGUUAGGUGCAAUGAUGAAAAGGCUAUUCAUCGCGCUGUUGCAUUGGUGAAUCUUCAAUUCAGCUGGUUCUUGAUCGGAGUCCCUAUAUUUGCUGUGUCUUUCUACUUGAUUAUGGCAACAUGCUAUGGUGAAAAGCUGGAAUAUGUUUCACUGAUGAAGGAGGAACAUCACCUUGAAGAUGGCUUAAAAAAUUUCAAUGUUGAAUCAUAAUGUCAAAUAUCAACACAAGUAUGCAAGAGCAAAACUAUAUAAAUAAUGUAUUGUUUAAAUUUCAUUUCAAAAUAAAAUUAAAUGUAUUGCUUAAAUUUGCACCGAAUAAUGGUAUCAAAGUUACCAAUGUUUUUAAUCAACGGUUAGUAUUCACUAAUCGACAUUCUUAUCAACAGUCAGAAUUGAUUCUAAAUAUAUCAUGCGGAUCGAUGACCUGUACAUAGCAAAACAAAAAAGAAGUGAUUUUAAUCAACGGUCAGUAUUCACUAAUCGACAUUCUUAUCAACAGUCAGAAUUGAUUCUAAAUCUAUCACGCGGAUCGAUGACUUGUACAUAGCAAAACAAAAAAGAAGCGAUUUUAAUCAACGGUCAGUAUUCACUAAUCGACAUUCUUAUCAACAGUCAGAAUUGAUUCUAAAUAUAUCACGCGGAUCGAUGACCUGUACAUAGCAAAACAAAAAAGAAGCGAUUUUAAUCAACGGUCAGUAUUCACUAAUCGACAUUCUUAUCAACAGUCAUAAUUGAUUCUAAAUAUAUCACGCGGUAGCAAAACAAAAACAAAACAAAAAAAAAGCGUAAAAAUAAUAGCAAAAACAGUCCUCGAGACUAAUAAAUAAAUUAGUAAUUAAAACAUGAACAUAAACAGAAUUUGUCCCAAAAACUAGUAAAUAAAUUAGAGAAGUGCUCGAGACUAAUAUAACCUAUGAAACACGGACAUAAACAUGAACAUCAGACACAAUACGAAUAUUGACACGUCUACACCGAUAAUAAUUUAAUAAAAUGGCAUAAUUCAAUGUAAUAAUAAUAAGUGUCUAAUUAAACAUGAACAUCAGACACAAUACGAAUAUUGACACGUCUACACCGAUAAUAAUUUAAUAAAAUGGCAUAAUUCAAUGUAAUAAUAAUAAGUGUCCGACACUGUCCGUCACCGAACACGUCUAAUCUGUGAUAGAAUAGAACCCAAAAACUAGUAAUUGCAACUGCACUCACACCAAAUCUCCAUCUUAUAAAGAACCCGACAAACACAUUAUUAUCACUAUAUAUCAAAUGCAAAAUAACAUGACACUAAACAAACCCAACAAAAGCUAAAUAACAUAUGAGACUAAUUUGCAAACACAUUACUAUCUUUAUUAAGGUAUUUUCUCUCGUAAUAUAAAUAAAUAUAUAAUGUGUUCUUCCAUUGUUUAUGAUCUCGUAAUUGCGUUAAAUGCACAUUUUUAUUGUCUUCAUAGAAUGUAUUCGUUCACAACAGUACACUGCUUCUGAUUUCGUGAGUCCAUAAAAUGCUCGAUUUUGCUUGUUGUAAUAAAAUGUGUGCUUUUUCACAACAAAUAAUAUAAUACGUGGUUACCAAAAUUUGAGUGCAUCCUAUAAAGAUUUAUUGCCCGUAAAAUAAAACACCUUCUAACUCAACUUUGAUCUAAUGUGUAUAUAUAUCAUAUAUGUCCAAUGGCAUGAAAUUUCCUUAACAUAAAAGCACCUUCUAACUCAAAUUUGAUCUAUUGUUCCUUAACGUAAAAUCUCAAACCUUGUACCUUGUGUGAGACGGACCACAACAACCUUUCCCCUUGUGGAAGGAAUUUUCUUGCCUUGUCCCAUGUGGUGGUCUCUCAUAUACGGACAUUUGUAUUUAUAAUACCAUAUAUACCCUCACCCCAACCAACUUCAUCUCCAUUAUAUUCCCUCACAAUAUCUAGAGAUACACAAAGAGCUAGCUCUAUAAAACUUCGUAUUUGGUUUUGAAUAACAAAGUUUAUAUAUUGUACCACAUUAAUUCCUUUUAGAGUUUGCUUAUUAUUACCAUUGGUGAACAAGAACAUAACUCAUUAGCUAAAUAAUAUUUUUUCCCCCUUUUGUGUUGUGUUUAUCAAAUAGUUAGGCACUAUGGAGGGACAUGAAUUUUUGGGGUUUGGUUUCUUUGUAAUUGGUUUGUGGCACCUCUUCAACAACACCAAACUCCACUUUCUUUGUUCUUCUUUCAAGUCCCACACAUCAACCAUGUGGUUUCCUACCAAAAUAAGUAGAUACUUGGAGCUUC